AAUGGGUCAGCGACUUAUAUUCUGUAGCAAGGUUAACCGUAUAGGGGAGCCGCAGGGAAACCGAGUCUUAAUUGGGCGUUAAGUUGCAGGGUAUAGACCCGAAACCCGGUGAUCUAGCCAUGGGCAGGUUGAAGGUUGGGUAACACUAACUGGAGGACCGAACCGACUAAUGUUGAAAAAUUAGCGGAUGACCUGUGGCUGGGGGUGAAAGGCCAAUCAAACCGGGAGAUAGCUGGUUCUCCCCGAAAGCUAUUUAGGUAGCGCCUCGUGAAUUCAUCUCCGGGGGUAGAGCACUGUUUCGGCUAGGGGGCCAUCCCGGCUUACCAACCCGAUGCAAACUGCGAAUACCGGAGAAUGUUAUCACGGGAGACACACGGCGGGUGCUAACGUCCGUCGUGAAGAGGGAAACAACCCAGACCGCCAGCUAAGGUCCCAAAGUCAUGGUUAAGUGGGAAACGAUGUGGGAAGGCCCAGACAGCCAGGAUGUUGGCUUAGAAGCAGCCAUCAUUUAAAGAAAGCGUAAUAGCUCACUGGUCGAGUCGGCCUGCGCGGAAGAUGUAACGGGGCUAAACCAUGCACCGAAGCUGCGGCAGCGACACUGUGUGUUGUUGGGUAGGGGAGCGUUCUGUAAGCCUGCGAAGGUGGCCUGUGAGGGUUGCUGGAGGUAUCAGAAGUGCGAAUGCUGACAUAAGUAACGAUAAAGCGGGUGAAAAGCCCGCUCGCCGGAAGACCAAGGGUUCCUGUCCAACGUUAAUCGGGGCAGGGUGAGUCGACCCCUAAGGCGAGGCCGAAAGGCGUAGUCGAUGGGAAACGGGUUAAUAUUCCCGUACUUGGUGUUACUGCGAAGGGGGGACGGAGAAGGCUAUGUUGGCCGGGCGACGGUUGUCCCGGUUUAAGCGUGUAGGUGUGUGUUCCAGGUAAAUCCGGUUCACUUUAACACUGAGGCGUGAUGACGAGGCACUACGGUGCUGAAGCAACAAAUGCCCUGCUUCCAGGAAAAGCCUCUAAGCAUCAGGUAACAUCAAAUCGUACCCCAAACCGACACAGGUGGUCAGGUAGAGAAUACCAAGGCGCUUGAGAGAACUCGGGUGAAGGAACUAGGCAAAAUGGUGCCGUAACUUCGGGAGAAGGCACGCUGACACGUAGGUGAAGUGAUUUACUCACGGAGCUGAAGUCAGUCGAAGAUACCAGCUGGCUGCAACUGUUUAUUAAAAACACAGCACUGUGCAAACACGAAAGUGGACGUAUACGGUGUGACGCCUGCCCGGUGCCGGAAGGUUAAUUGAUGGGGUCAGCGCAAGCGAAGCUCCUGAUCGAAGCCCCGGUAAACGGCGGCCGUAACUAUAACGGUCCUAAGGUAGCGAAAUUCCUUGUCGGGUAAGUUCCGACCUGCACGAAUGGCGUAAUGAUGGCCAGGCUGUCUCCACCCGAGACUCAGUGAAAUUGAACUCGCUGUGAAGAUGCAGUGUACCCGCGGCAAGACGGAAAGACCCCGUGAACCUUUACUAUAGCUUGACACUGAACAUUGAGCCUUGAUGUGUAGGAUAGGUGGGAGGCUUUGAAGUGUGGACGCCAGUCUGCAUGGAGCCGACCUUGAAAUACCACCCUUUAAUGUUUGAUGUUCUAACGUGGACCCGUGAUCCGGGUUGCGGACAGUGUCUGGUGGGUAGUUUGACUGGGGCGGUCUCCUCCUAAAGAGUAACGGAGGAGCACGAAGGUUGGCUAAUCCUGGUCGGACAUCAGGAGGUUAGUGCAAUGGCAUAAGCCAGCUUGACUGCGAGCGUGACGGCGCGAGCAGGUGCGAAAGCAGGUCAUAGUGAUCCGGUGGUUCUGAAUGGAAGGGCCAUCGCUCAACGGAUAAAAGGUACUCCGGGGAUAACAGGCUGAUACCGCCCAAGAGUUCAUAUCGACGGCGGUGUUUGGCACCUCGAUGUCGGCUCAUCACAUCCUGGGGCUGAAGUAGGUCCCAAGGGUAUGGCUGUUCGCCAUUUAAAGUGGUACGCGAGCUGGGUUUAGAACGUCGUGAGACAGUUCGGUCCCUAUCUGCCGUGGGCGCUGGAGAACUGAGGGGGGCUGCUCCUAGUACGAGAGGACCGGAGUGGACGCAUCACUGGUGUUCGGGUUGUCAUGCCAAUGGCACUGCCCGGUAGCUAAAUGCGGAAGAGAUAAGUGCUGAAAGCAUCUAAGCACGAAACUUGCCCCGA
Molecule: ribosomal RNA, 2204 nt
Filed under: Salmonella enterica subsp. enterica
Lineage: Bacteria; Pseudomonadati; Pseudomonadota; Gammaproteobacteria; Enterobacterales; Enterobacteriaceae
Description: partial 23S ribosomal RNA
Rfam family: Bacterial large subunit ribosomal RNA
Source: RNAcentral